This 550-nucleotide ribosomal RNA is filed under the name Flavobacterium sp. DB2.4-19. RNAcentral describes it as "bacterial SSU rRNA". It matches the Rfam family "Bacterial small subunit ribosomal RNA", at positions 12 to 563 of the family's 1533-position model. Lineage: Bacteria; Pseudomonadati; Bacteroidota; Flavobacteriia; Flavobacteriales; Flavobacteriaceae. The record is from RNAcentral.
UUUGAUCCUGGCUCAGGAUGAACGCUAGCGGCAGGCUUAACACAUGCAAGUCGAGGGGUAGAAGUCUUCGGGCUUUGAGACCGGCGCACGGGUGCGUAACGCGUAUGCAAUCUGCCUUUCACAGAGGGAUAGCCCAGAGAAAUUUGGAUUAAUACCUCAUAGUAUUACGACUCGGCAUCGAGAUGUAAUUAAAGUCACAACGGUGAAAGAUGAGCAUGCGUCCCAUUAGCUAGUUGGUAAGGUAACGGCUUACCAAGGCUACGAUGGGUAGGGGUCCUGAGAGGGAGAUCCCCCACACUGGUACUGAGACACGGACCAGACUCCUACGGGAGGCAGCAGUGAGGAAUAUUGGUCAAUGGGCGCAAGCCUGAACCAGCCAUGCCGCGUGCAGGAUGACGGUCCUAUGGAUUGUAAACUGCUUUUGUACGAGAAGAAACACUGAUUCGUGAAUCAGCUUGACGGUAUCGUAAGAAUAAGGAUCGGCUAACUCCGUGCCAGCAGCCGCGGUAAUACGGAGGAUCCAAGCGUUAUCCGGAAUCAUGGGGUUUAA